AAACACAGAAAAAUCCCAAAAUCAAACACAGAAAAAUCCCAAAAUUCAUUUCAAUCAAUUUCUGCAGCUUCGUCAUCGUCCUCCCUGCAGCGUCGUCAUCGUCUUCCCUGCAGCGUCGUCAUCGUCUUCCCUACAGCGUCGUCAUCAUCCUCCGUGCAGCGUCGUCGUCGUCGUCGGCCUGCAGCGUCGUCAUCGUCUUCCCUGCAGCGUCGUCAUCAUCCUCCGUGCAGCGUCGUCGUCGUCGUCGGCCUGGCUAUGGUGACGGCGCCGGAGAAGAAGAGGGGUUGCUGGUGACGGCUCCAUGGUGACGGCGCCGGAGAAGAAGAGGGUUUGCUGGUGACGGUGGUGACGACGCCGGAGAAGAAGAGGGGUUUGCUGGUGACGGUGGUGACGUCGUCGUCGUCAGAUGGGUUUGCUGGGAUUGGGUUACUGGGUUUGUGGUGGAUGAAGAGGGAGGUUACGGGAAAGAAGGGAUUGGGUUACUGGGUUUGUGGUAGAACAGAG
RNAcentral lists this long non-coding RNA (504 nucleotides) under Malus domestica (apple). RNAcentral describes it as "long non-coding RNA (MDOM_LNC009946)". The record is from RNAcentral. Lineage: Eukaryota; Viridiplantae; Streptophyta; Magnoliopsida; Rosales; Rosaceae.